GAAAGAAAUUCGGUGAAGGAUGGGCAUGCGUCGCAUUAGUUAGUUGGCGGUGUAACGGACCACCAAGACGACGAUGCGUAGGGGUUCUGAGAGGAAGGUCCCCCACACUGGUACUGAGACACGGACCAGACUCCUACGGGAGGCAGCAGUGAGGAAUAUUGGUCAAUGGCCGAGAGGCUGAACCAGCCAAGUCGCGUGAGGGAAGAAUGUCCUAUGGAUUGUAAACCUCUUUUGUCAGGGAGCAAAGUCACCCACGUGUGGGUGUUGGAGAGUACCUGAAGAAAAAGCAUCGGCUAACUCCGUGCCAGCAGCCGCGGUAAUACGGAGGAUGCGAGCGUUAUCCGGAUUUAUUGGGUUUAAAGGGUGCGUAGGCGGGUUAUCAAGUCAGCGGUAAAAUCGUGGAGCUCAACUCCAUCCAGCCGUUGAAACUGAUGAUCUUGAGUGGGCGAGAAGUAUGCGGAAUGCGUGGUGUAGCGGUGAAAUGCAUAGAUAUCACGCAGAACUCCGAUUGCGAAGGCAGCAUACCGGCGCCCGACUGACGCUGAAGCACGAAAGCGUGGGUAUCGAACAGGAUUAGAUACCCUGGUAGUCCACGCAGUAAACGAUGAAUACUAAUUGUGUGCUCCGAAUGAGGAGUGC
This 639-nucleotide ribosomal RNA is filed under the name uncultured bacterium. Its description in RNAcentral is "bacterial SSU rRNA". It matches the Rfam family "Bacterial small subunit ribosomal RNA", at positions 202 to 842 of the family's 1533-position model. The record is from RNAcentral.